RNAcentral lists this transfer RNA (73 nucleotides) under Candidatus Roizmanbacteria bacterium RIFCSPLOWO2_01_FULL_38_11. RNAcentral's name for it is "tRNA-Arg". It matches the Rfam family "tRNA". Rfam says of the family: Transfer RNA (tRNA) molecules are approximately 80 nucleotides in length. Lineage: Bacteria; Candidatus Roizmaniibacteriota. The record is from RNAcentral.
GCGCUUGUAGCUUAAUGGAUAGAGCAUUGGUUUCCGGAACCAAAGGUUGGAGGUUCGAAUCCUCUCAGGCGCG